GUGUCAGCCGCCGCGGUAAUACGAAGGGGGCUAGCGUUGUUCGGAAUUACUGGGCGUAAAGCGCACGUAGGCGGAUUGUUAAGUCAGAGGUGAAAUCCCGGAGCUCAACUUCGGAACUGCCUUUGAUACUGGCAAUCUAGAGUCCGGAAGAGGUUAGUGGAAUUCCCAGUGUAGAGGUGAAAUUCGUAGAUAUUGGGAAGAACACCAGUGGCGAAGGCGGCUAACUGGUCCGGUACUGACGCUGAGGUGCGAAAGCGUGGGGAGCAAACAGGAUUAGAAACCCCCGUAGUCC
RNAcentral lists this ribosomal RNA (292 nucleotides) under uncultured bacterium. Its description in RNAcentral is "partial 16S ribosomal RNA". It matches the Rfam family "Bacterial small subunit ribosomal RNA", at positions 505 to 796 of the family's 1533-position model. The record is from RNAcentral.